This 253-nucleotide ribosomal RNA is filed under the name uncultured bacterium. Its description in RNAcentral is "partial 16S ribosomal RNA". It matches the Rfam family "Bacterial small subunit ribosomal RNA", at positions 524 to 776 of the family's 1533-position model. The record is from RNAcentral.
UACGGAGGGUGCAAGCGUUGUUCGGAAUUAUUGGGCGUAAAGGGCAGGUAGGUGGUCUUGACAGUCUACUGUGAAAUCCCUGAGCUUAACUCAGGAAGUGCGGUGGAUACUACAAGACUAGAGUGCCGGAGGGGUACGUGGAAUUCCCGGUGUAGCGGUGGAAUGCGUAGAUAUCGGGAGGAACACCAGAGGCGAAGGCGGCGUACUGGACGGCAACUGACACUCAACUGCGAAAGCGUGGGGAGCAAACAGG